Molecule: long non-coding RNA, 3793 nt
Organism: Dreissena polymorpha
Lineage: Eukaryota; Metazoa; Mollusca; Bivalvia; Myida; Dreissenidae
Exons: 2
Source: RefSeq, a predicted model, not a curated record
UUUGAAAUAUGAAGUUUUACAUUUUUUGUAGAUUAAAUAAUUUGUAAAAUGUUGCAGUUUCGUCAAUCAGUUUUAUAAGAUAUUGAGCUUUAAAUAUGAUGCAGAUUGUAAGAUUCUUAAUAUCUUUCAAUAUUGUGGAUAAGUUUUUGAGAUAUCAAGCUUUGAGUUUUAUGCAAAUUGUAUGAUUUUAAAAUGUUUUAAUGGUGUUGAUCAGUGUAAUGAAGAUUGCAUAAUUUUUAUGUUUUAAUUCUGUCUAUUGGUUUUCAAAAUGAAAGACUUUGAUUUGUAAGUGCACUUUUAUCUCCUGAAAGAUUCUUUUCUAGUGUUUAGUUUAUAUUUUAAGGCUGUUUGCAAACUCGAAGUGAAAACAGUUCUAUUACAAUUUGGUAAGGACAUGACAUUGCAUAUCUGAUUUUAAAAUGUACUUUGCUGGCAACGUGUAAUUUUCUGAAAUGUCUUAGUAAGACUGUUGUUUGCAAUCAAAAGGUCUGUGCUUCAAAUACAGGGUAAUGCAUGUUUUUUGUCCAAAUUUAUGGCGAUUCAGACAUUGUUCUAUGUAAAUUUGGGGUUUGCUUGAAGGUUCAGUCUAUUUUUAUGUCCCUCACUAUAGUAGUGGGGGACAUAUUGUUUUUGUCCUGUCUGUUGGUUGGUUGGUUGAUCUGUUUACGCCAACUUUAACAUUUGCAAUAACUUUUGCAAUAUUGAAGAUAGCAACUUGAUAUUUGGCAUGCAUAUGUAUCUCAUAGAGCUGCACAUUUUAAUUUUCUGAAAGGUCAAGGUCAGAGGUCAAAUAUAUGUGGCCAAAAUCGCUCAUUUUAUGAAUACUUUUGCAAUAUUGAAGAUAGCAACUUCAUAUUUGGCAAGCAUGUGUAUCUCAUGGAGCUGCACAUUUUGAGUGGUGAAAGGUCAAGGUCAUAAUUCAAUGUCAUAGGUCGAAUAUAUGGCUUCAAAGCGGCGCAGUAAGGGGGAUUGUGUUUUACGAACACAGCUCUUGUUGUUAACUGCCUUUUUAGUCCCUUACCAGUGUUUCACUAAAGUCCGUGUACUUUGGACUCAUUUCAAGUUGACAUUUGAAGCUUUAACUUUGUAUGAUUCUAAAUAUGUGUCAAUGCUGUCGGUUGAAUUUUGAAAUAUGAAGUUUUUCAUUUUUUGUAGAUUAAAUAAUUGUAAAAUGUUGCAGUUUAGUCAAUCAGUUUUAUAAGAUAUUGAGCUUUAGUUAUGAUGCAGAUUGUAAGAUUCUUAAUAUCUUUCAAUAUUGUGGAUAAGUUUUUGAGAUAUCAAGCUUUGAAUUUUAUGCAAAUUGUAUGAUUUAAAAUGUUUUAAUUUGUUGAUCAGUGUACUGAAGAUUGUAUACUUUUUAUAUGUUAUAAUUCUGUCUAUUGGUUUUCAAAAUGAAAGACUUUGAUUUUGUAAGUUCACUUUUAUCUCAUUAUGCCCCCCUUCGAAGAAGAGGGGGUAUAUUGCUUUGCUCAUGUCGGUCGGUCUGUCGGUAUGUCAGUUUGUCGGUCCGUCCACCAGGUGGUUGUCAGACGAUAACUCAAGAACGCUUGGGCCUAGGAUCAUGAAACUCCAUAGGUACAUUGAUCAUGACUCGCAGAUGACCCCUAUUGAUUUUGAGGUCAAAGGUCAAGGUCACGGUGACCCAAAAUAGUAAAAUGGUUUCCGGAUGAUAACUCAAAAAUUCAUACGCCUAGGAUCAUGAAACUUCAUGGCUAGAUUGAUCAUGACUUGCAGAUGACCCCUAUUGAUUUUGAGGUCACUAGGUCAAAGGUCAAGGUCACGGUGACCCGAAAUAGUAAAAUGGUUUUCAGAUGAUAACUCAAGAACGCAUAUGCCUAGGAUCAUGAAACUUCACAGGUAGAUUGAUCAUGACUCACAGAUGACCCUUAUUGAUUUUGAGGUCACAAGGUCAAGGUCACGGUGACCCGAAAUAGUAAAAUGAUUUUCGGAUGAUAACUCAAGAACGCUUUUGCCUAGGAUCAUGACACUUCAUAGGUACAUUGAUCGUGACUCACAGAUGACCCCUAUUGAUUUUCAGGUCACUAGGUCAAAGGUCAAGGUCACAGUGACAAAAAACGUAUUCACACAAUGGCUGCCACUACAACGGACAGCCCAUAUGGGGGGCAUGCUUGUUUUACAAACAGCCCUUGUUAAAGAUUCUUUUCUAGUGUUUAGUUUAUAUUUUAAGGCUGUUUGCAAACUCGAAGUGAAAACAGCUCUAGUACAAUUUGGUAAGGACAUGACAUUGCAUAUCUGAUUUAAAAAUGUACUUUGCUGGCAACGUGUAAUUUUCAGAAAUGUCUUAGUAAGUAAGACUGUUGUUUGCAAUCAAAAGGUCUGUGCUUCAAAUCCAGGAAAAUGCAUGUUUUUUGUCCAAAUUUAUGUCAAUUCAGACAUUGUUCUGUGUAAAUAUGGGGUUUGCUUGUAGGAUCAGUCUAUUUUUAUGUCCCCCACUAUAGUAGUGGGGGACAUGUUGUUUUUGCUCUGUCGGUCUGUUGAUUGGUUGGUUGGUCUGUUUAUGCCAACUUUAACAUUUUGCAAUAUUGAAAGUAGCAACUUGAUAUUUGGCAUGCAAAUGCAUCUCCUGAAGCUGCACAUUAUCAUUGGUGAAAGGUCAAGGUCAUCCUUCAAGGUCAGAGGUCAAAUAUAUGUGGCCAAAAUCGCUCAUUUUAUGAAUUCUUUUGCAAUAUUGAAGAUAGCAACUUGAUAUUUGCCAAGCAUGUGUAUCUCAUUGAGCUGCACAUUUUGAGUGGUGAAAGGUCAAGGUCAUCCUUCAAGGUCAGAGGUCAAAUAUAUGUGGCCCAAAUCGCUUAUUUUAUUAAUACUUUUGCAAUAUUGAAGAUAGCAACUUGAAAUUUGGCAUGCAUGUGUAUCUCAUGGAGCUGCAAAUUUUGAGUGUUGAAAGGUCAAAGUCAUCCUUCAAGGUCAGAGGUUAAAUAUAUGUGGCCCAAAUCGCUUAUUUUAUGAAUACGUUUGCACUAUUGAAGAUAGCAACUUGAUAUUUGGCAUGCAUAUGUAUCUCAUAGAGCUGCACAUUUUGAGUGGUGAAAGGUCAAGGACAUCCUUCAAGGUCAAAUAUAUGGGUCAAAAUUGCUCAUGUUAUGUUACUUCUGCAAUAUUGAAGCUAGCAAUUUUAUAUUUGACAUGCAUGUGUAUCUCAUGGAGCUGCACAUUUUGAGUGGUGAAGGGUCAAGGUCAUCCUUCAAGGUCAAACGUUAUAUACGGGGACAUUGGGUUUCACAAACGCAUCUUGUUGUGUAUGUAAUUAAUUUUGCUUAAUUUUUGUGAUCCCCCGCCAACAGCGGAGGGAUAUUAAUUUGGCAUUGUCCGUCUUUCCGUCUGGCACUUUUGUGUCCGGAACCAUAUCUUGGAAGUGCUUAAGCAGAUUUCAUUGAAACUUGGUACGAGUAUAUAUAUAUGGAUAAGAGGAUGAUGCACGCCAAAUGGCAUUGUACAUCCUUGAUUAAUAGCGGAGUUAUGACCCUUUGUAUUUGAAAAAAAUGCUUUUUUUGUGUGUCUAGAGCCAUAACUUGUAUCCAGAAGUAUAAUGGCGGGGGAUAUCAAUUCAACGAAUUUGCUUGUUAAAUCAGUUUUUAUUUUCAUGAUAAUCAUUUAGUUCGUACUGCAACUUAUGAUGGAUUGUUACUACUAUCUCCAAUUAUUUGUUUGUCAUGGGUCCGUCACCAUUUAUCUCUUAUAUAAUACUUGAAUUGAGCAUUUCACAAUCUGACAAUCAUGCAUAUCAUUUAUUAGUUUCAUAAUAAAACGUCUGACAAGGGUCAGAUAAUUUUAA